Molecule: ribosomal RNA, 307 nt
Filed under: uncultured bacterium
Lineage: Bacteria
Description: bacterial SSU rRNA
Rfam family: Bacterial small subunit ribosomal RNA
Source: RNAcentral
AGUGAACGCUGGCGGCGUGCUUAACACAUGCAAGUCGAGCGGUAACAGAGAUAGCUUGCUAUCUGCUGACGAGCGGCGGACGGGUGAGUAAUGCUUGGGAAUAUGCCUUUGAUGGGGGACAACAGUUGGAAACGACUGCUAAUACCGCAUACGCCCUACGGGGGAAAGAAGGGGACCUUCGGGCCUUUCGCGAUUGGAUGUGCCCAAGUGGGAUUAGCUAGUUGGUGAGGUAAAGGCUCACCAAGGCGACGAUCCCUAGCUGGUUUGAGAGGAUGAUCAGCCACACUGGAACUGAGACACGGUCCAG